GGAAAAAAAAGUCUGGUUCGGGGGAAACGUCCCUCUUCAGAAAAGUAAAAGAAAAACAGAAACGGAAAAUAAGAACACAACCAGCAGAAUGGGGCUCCAGAACUGACCAGAAGAAACGGAUACUGACUCAAUAAAAGUGUUGUACUAACUAGUGUCAACUUUCGUCGAGAGAAGCACUGCGAAGAAGAUGAUGACGGAUACUUGCUAACACCACUGCGCUACCAGCUUCAAUGACUGAGUGUGGCACUGUGUACCUCAGAUGAUCUGGUGAGUCUGCUCCAAAGUGUGAAUGUGAGGAGACACCAGCUUGAGAAUGAGAAGCACCUUUGUUCUGCGGUUUCCAGGAAAAGCGGGAAGGCCGUGUGCUCGGCUGGAGCCAUUUCUUGAGUGCCAUAGCACUGUCGCCUCUGGCAGGUCUGAUGAUCCCC
This is a long non-coding RNA of Seriola aureovittata, 428 nucleotides long. RefSeq lists it as uncharacterized. The transcript is spliced from 3 exons. Lineage: Eukaryota; Metazoa; Chordata; Actinopteri; Carangiformes; Carangidae. The record is from RefSeq and is a predicted model, not a curated record.